Molecule: long non-coding RNA, 342 nt
Filed under: Brassica napus (rape)
Lineage: Eukaryota; Viridiplantae; Streptophyta; Magnoliopsida; Brassicales; Brassicaceae
Description: long non-coding RNA (BNAP_LNC021169)
Source: RNAcentral
AAAUACCAAAAUACUUAAAUUAAUUUAUUUUCUAUCCAAAUAUUUAAGCUAAACCAAUUUUUAUGUUAAGUUUAAGUAUUUUGUCAUACAUUUUUAAAAUUUGUAUGUUAUCUAUUAUUUUAUUUUCAUAUUUGUAAAAGUUUAAAGUAUAUAUAAAUAUUAAUUUUUAAGAAAUUAAUUUAAACGAGUUAUCCAAAUUUGAACCGAACUCGCAAGAAUCCGAACCAAACCCAAAACGAAAUUUAUAAAUACACGCAGAGGGUCAAAAUAUGUAACCCCAAAAACAUGAAACCCGAAUAACCUUAAACCGAACCUGAAUGGUACCUGAAUGCUCAUAUCUAA